RNAcentral lists this ribosomal RNA (255 nucleotides) under uncultured bacterium. RNAcentral's name for it is "partial 16S ribosomal RNA". It matches the Rfam family "Bacterial small subunit ribosomal RNA", at positions 524 to 776 of the family's 1533-position model. The record is from RNAcentral.
UACGAAGGGGGGCUAGCGUUGUUCGGAAUUACUGGGCGUAAAGGGCGCGUAGGCGGUCCUUCAAGUCAGGCGUGAAAGCCCCCGGGCUCAACCUGGGAACCGCGCUUGAGACUGGCGGGCUAGAGUUCGGGAGAGGAUGGUGGAAUUCCCAGUGUAGAGGUGAAAUUCGUAGAUAUUGGGAAGAACACCGAUGGCGAAGGCAGCCAUCUGGACCGACACUGACGCUGAGGCGCGAAAGCGUGGGGAGCAAACAGG